UAAUUUGUAACCGCCAAGUUCUAAUAUGGUUCCCCCCAAGAUUUUAAAACUAUUUAAAAACGCCCACCAAACUUUUAGUUUUAAAACGCACAUUCAAUUCAACUCAUCUAGAUUUCAUUUCAUCGCCUUUCUCGUCGUCUGUCUUCUCAGUGAGCGAACAUGGCAGGCAAGGGAGGUAAAGGACUCGUAGCUGCAAAGACGAUGGCUGCUAACAAAGACAAAGACAAAGACAAGGACAAGAAGAAACCCAUGUCUCGCUCUGCUCGUGCCGGCAUUCAGUUUCCAGUGGGUCGUAUUCAUAGGCAACUCAAGACCAGGGUUUCAGCACAUGGAAGAGUUGGUGCCACUGCUGCUGUUUACACGGCUUCAAUUCUAGAGUACCUUACUGCAGAAGUUCUUGAGUUAGCUGGGAACGCAAGCAAAGAUCUGAAAGUGAAGAGGAUAACUCCAAGGCAUCUGCAGUUGGCAAUCAGAGGAGAUGAGGAGCUUGACACGCUCAUCAAAGGAACCAUUGCUGGAGGAGGUGUGAUCCCUCACAUCCACAAGUCUCUUAUCAACAAAACCACUAACGAGUGAUUUUGUUUCUUAAGCACUGAGGUUAUGUGAUCUGCUAAUUAGUAGCUUAUUGUUUGUGUUGGACUGCUUUUUUUUUCCUUAGUUCUCUGACUAGUGUGUUGCUCUUUUCUGGACAUCAUCAUGUGUACGUUUAAUUUGAACUCUUAGGCUUAUUGUUUAUUGUACGCGAUCCAUAUACAAAAAACUCAAGUUAAAAGGAUUAGGUGGUUCUCCAAAGCUCCUUGUCAAGAAUACGCAAUACAUAAUCAUUGUCUCA
RNA transcript from Brassica rapa (field mustard), 832 nucleotides. It is a transcript of the gene named histone H2A variant 1, with no coding region annotated. NCBI's taxonomy places the organism in Eukaryota, Viridiplantae, Streptophyta, Magnoliopsida, Brassicales, Brassicaceae. The record is from RefSeq and is a predicted model, not a curated record.